UGAGGGGAAACUAAUCAUUUUUGACAGC
Molecule: non-coding RNA, 28 nt
Filed under: Rattus norvegicus (Norway rat)
Lineage: Eukaryota; Metazoa; Chordata; Mammalia; Rodentia; Muridae
Source: RNAcentral